Molecule: ribosomal RNA, 253 nt
Filed under: uncultured bacterium
Lineage: Bacteria
Description: partial 16S ribosomal RNA
Rfam family: Bacterial small subunit ribosomal RNA
Source: RNAcentral
UACAGAGGGGGCAAGCGUUAUUCGGAAUUAUUGGGCGUAAAGGGCGCGUAGGCGGCUUUGCAAGUGACGGGUGAAAUCCCUCGGCUUAACCGAGGAACUGCCUGUCAGACUGUGAGGCUUGAGACCGGGAGAGGUGAGUGGAAUUCCCAGUGUAGCGGUGAAAUGCGUAGAUAUUGGGAGGAACACCAGUGGCGAAGGCGGCUCACUGGACCGGAACUGACGCUGAGGCGCGAAAGCCAGGGGAGCAAACGGG